This 137-nucleotide ribosomal RNA is filed under the name uncultured bacterium. RNAcentral describes it as "partial 16S ribosomal RNA". It matches the Rfam family "Bacterial small subunit ribosomal RNA", at positions 331 to 465 of the family's 1533-position model. The record is from RNAcentral.
CGCCCUUCCUACGGGAGGCAGCAGUAGGGAAUAUUGCACAAUGGAGGAAACUCUGAUGCAGCGACGCCGCGUGAGUGACGAAGGCCUUCGGGUUGUAAAGCUCUGUUCUCAGGGAAAGAGCAAGUGAUGUCCNGGAA